RNAcentral lists this long non-coding RNA (268 nucleotides) under Prunus persica (peach). Its description in RNAcentral is "long non-coding RNA (PPER_LNC006334)". The record is from RNAcentral. Lineage: Eukaryota; Viridiplantae; Streptophyta; Magnoliopsida; Rosales; Rosaceae.
UUGUGCUCUCUCUCUCUCUCUCUCUCUCUCUCUCUCUCUCUCUCUCUCUCUCUCUGUCCAAAAGUCCAGAUUCAUCUUCAACAGCUCACCGUGCCAAUCCUACAAGCAUCAACUAUGGCAACAAAAUCUAUACCUCAUCACCCUCUACAAUUCCAACGCAGGUAAUUAAUUAGUUGCUUCUUAAUUUCAUUUGACAACUAAGUAGUUGAAAUAAUGUGAUUGUACAAUAUUCACGGCAGGCAAACAAUAUCCAUUUGGGGUCUGUUCC